Molecule: long non-coding RNA, 517 nt
Filed under: Homo sapiens (human)
Lineage: Eukaryota; Metazoa; Chordata; Mammalia; Primates; Hominidae
Description: non-protein coding lnc-RREB1-8:1
Source: RNAcentral
GGAUUGCACCACUGCACUCCAGCGUGGGCAACAGAGCACGACUCCGUCUCCAAAAAAAAAAAGCCUCCGGAAAAAAAAUUAAUUAGAUGCCUCCUUCUCCAUACCAUACUAAAAAAUAAAGUCCAAGAGAGAUGAAGAGUUUUAAUGUCAAAAAUAAUCAAUACAAGCUUUAGAAGGAAAUACAAGGCCAGAGCCGGCUCCCUCAGCUUGCAGGAAGGUGUGGAGGGGAGAGGCGCGGGCAGGAACCGGGGCUGCGCGCGGUGCUUGCAGGCCAGCACGAGUUCCUCUCCCUGCAGGGCAGGGUUAAGGACCUGCAGUCCAUGCCUGAGCCACCCCCUUCCCCCGUGGGCUCCUGUGCAGCCCGAGCCUCCCCGUCGAGCGCCGGCCUCUGCUCCACGGCGCCCAGUCCCAUCCGCCACCCAACGACUAAGGAGUGCGGGCCCACAGCUCGGGACUAGCUGGUAGCUCCACCUGCGGCCCCAGUACAGAAUCCACUGGGUGAAGCUAGCUAGGCUCC